GACGGGGGAUGCAAGCGUUAUCCGGAAUCACUGGGCGUAAAGCGUCUGUAGGUGGUGAUGCAAGUCACUGGUGCAAAACUCUGGCUCAACCGGAGGAAAGCCAGUGAAACUGCAUGACUAGAGUGUGGGAGAGGUAGAAGGAAUUCCUUGAGUAGCGGUGAAAUGCGUAGAUACAGGGAAGAACACCGGAGGCGAAAGCGUUCUACUGGAACACAACUGACACUGAGUGAAGAAAGCUAGGGGAGCGAAUGGG
Molecule: ribosomal RNA, 253 nt
Filed under: uncultured bacterium
Lineage: Bacteria
Description: partial 16S ribosomal RNA
Rfam family: Bacterial small subunit ribosomal RNA
Source: RNAcentral